Molecule: long non-coding RNA, 504 nt
Organism: Pseudomyrmex gracilis
Lineage: Eukaryota; Metazoa; Arthropoda; Insecta; Hymenoptera; Formicidae
Exons: 2
Source: RefSeq, a predicted model, not a curated record
CUUAUGAGCUUAGCCGCUCUCAGUGUCUCAGACUUCUCUCUGAUGUUACCAAUUAAAUCUCUGAAGGCGGACUAUCUCUACACGUACAACUGGUGUAUAGAUUUCUUCUCUGUGUUCUCACUGAGCCAUUACAACAUUGAAUUGAAUUUGACAGCUCAUUGUUAUGUAUCUUGGAAUGGUAAUUGUGGCUUUGUCAAUAUUGGCAAUGAAUAUCGGAAUACAUCCUAGUAAAAUCAGAUUUCACUCGCAGUCUUAGUGAAAUUAUCAUUACUGUUUGCUGAACGAUUACAUUCGAUCAGGAUUCUUCAAUAUCUUUUGAUGUAAUAUAUGUGCCACGCGCGUCAAGUAUUACGACAUUGUGUAAUUAGUGCAAUCCUAUUUACUAAUUGCGGGCGGACAUAACUUAUUGUAUUUCAAUGUCAUCGCGAUCCGGUGAACAUGCUAAUUAUCAGCAAUUCAACAUUGAGGACUUGGAUUGCAACAUCUCCAACAGCUCUAGCCGAA